CCUACGGGUGGCAGCAGUGGGGAAUAUUGCACAAUGGGGGAAACCCUGAAGCAGCAACGCCGCGUGGGGGAUGAAGGUUUUCGGAUUGUAAACCCCUUUUGUUAGAGAAGAUAAUGACGGUAUCUAACGAAUAAGCACCAGCUAACACCGUGCCAGCAGCCGCCGUAAUACGGGGGGUGCAAGCUUUACUUGGAGUAACUGGGGUUAAAGGACGCGGAGGCGGGAUAGCAAGUCUGAUGUGAAAUCCUAUGGCUUAACCAUAGAACUGCAUUUGAAACUGUGAUUCUAGAGUAUGGGAGAGGUAGGUGGAAUUCUUGGUGUAGGGGUAAAAUGCGUAGAGAUCAAGAGGAAUACUCAUGGCGAAGGCGACCGUCUGGAACAUAACUGACGCUGAUGCGCGAAAGCGUGGGGAGCAAACAGGAUUAGAUACCCUAGUAGUC
This 440-nucleotide ribosomal RNA is filed under the name uncultured bacterium. RNAcentral describes it as "partial 16S ribosomal RNA". It matches the Rfam family "Bacterial small subunit ribosomal RNA", at positions 338 to 795 of the family's 1533-position model. The record is from RNAcentral.